RNAcentral lists this ribosomal RNA (492 nucleotides) under uncultured bacterium. RNAcentral describes it as "partial 16S ribosomal RNA". It matches the Rfam family "Bacterial small subunit ribosomal RNA", at positions 29 to 507 of the family's 1533-position model. The record is from RNAcentral.
AGUGAACGCUGGCGGUAGGCCUAACACAUGCAAGUCGAACGGCAGCACAGUAAGAGCUUGCUCUUACGGGUGGCGAGUGGCGGACGGGUGAGGAAUACAUCGGAAUCUACUUUUUCGUGGGGGAUAACGUAGGGAAACUUACGCUAAUACCGCAUACGACCUACGGGUGAAAGCAGGGGAUCUUCGGACCUUGCGCGAUUGAAUGAGCCGAUGUCGGAUUAGCUAGUUGGCGGGGUAAAGGCCCACCAAGGCGACGAUCCGUAGCUGGUCUGAGAGGAUGGUCGGCCGCACUGGAACUGAGACACGGUCCAUACUCCUACGGGAGGGAGCAGUGGGGAAUAUUGGACAAUGGGCGGAAGCCUGAUCCAGCCAUACCGCGUGGGUGAAGAAGGCCUUCGGGUUGUAAAGCCCUUUUGUUGGGAAAGAAAAGCAGCAGGUUAAUACCCCGCUGUUCUGACGGUACCCAAAGAAUAAGCACCGGCUAACUUCGUG